Molecule: long non-coding RNA, 651 nt
Filed under: Homo sapiens (human)
Lineage: Eukaryota; Metazoa; Chordata; Mammalia; Primates; Hominidae
Description: HSALNT0025926
Source: RNAcentral
AUUUUAACAAAAACUUGUCUCUCAAAGUCAACAUUUAUGCAUGCAACACGCUGUUUUUCCUUCUUCAGGCCCUGGAAUAGAAUGUCCCUUUGCAAGGUUUUGCUACAAAUAAAAAGUAAUACAAUAUUUUUUACCAAUUCACCCAAGAAGCAUAUUUUGUAACAGCCACUGUGCCACGUAUAAAAAGACCUGGUUUUUGCUAUUCAAGAGCUUGUCCUCUGGUUAAACUGAGUGCUAAGAAGUGCUGGCAGACUGCCGUGAAGGUGAAACAGGAAUACAGAGAAUAGAGAAAUGGGGAAGGGCGUCUGUGUUCGAAACCCAGGUCUGCUCAGGGGUCAAGCAAGUCGGAGUCAGAAAAAGUAAAGUGUUUAACAUCGAGUUUUCAAUAUUUAUUUGUUUACAAUGCGUCACAUUCUGCUCCUAGAUAGGGUUAACCUCUGAAGACCUCAGAUUUCGCUGCUUUUCCUUGCCGUGGAGAGGGAAUAAAACGGGCAUCGUGGCCUCCGCGAUGGGCGCUCGUGCCUGGGUCGAAGGACUGGGGGGCGGAGGAUUUGGAAAGGGAGAAAAAUACGGGCUGGCUUCUUUUUAAAAAAUGUGGGUAGCCUUGCCUGCCCCCGCCGCACUGGAAUUUAUCCUAAACUUACUUUCAUU